CCUAAUACAUGCAAGUAGAACGCUGAAGAGAGGAGCUUGCUCUUCUUGGAUGAGUUGCGAACGGGUGAGUAACGCGUAGGUAACCUGCCUUGUAGCGGGGGAUAACUAUUGGAAACGAUAGCUAAUACCGCAUAACAAUGGAUGACACAUGUCAUUUAUUUGAAAGGGGCAAUUGCUCCACUACAAGAUGGACCUGCGUUGUAUUAGCUAGUAGGUGAGGUAAUGGCUCACCUAGGCGACGAUACAUAGCCGACCUGAGAGGGUGAUCGGCCACACUGGGACUGAGACACGGCCCAGACUCCUACGGGAGGCAGCAGUAGGGAAUCUUCGGCAAUGGGGGCAACCCUGACCGAGCAACGCCGCGUGAGUGAAGAAGGUUUUCGGAUCGUAAAGCUCUGUUGUAAGUCAAGAACGGGUGUGAGAGUGGAAAGUUCACACUGUGACGGUAGCUUACCAGAAAGGGACGGCUAACUACGUGCCAGCAGCCGCGGUAAUACGUAGGUCCCGAGCGUUGUCCGGAUUUAUUGGGCGUAAAGCGAGCGCAGGCGGUUUGAUAAGUCUGAAGUUAAAGGCUGUGGCUCAACCAUAGUUCGCUUUGGAAACUGUCAAACUUGAGUGCAGAAGGGGAGAGUGGAAUUCCAUGUGUAGCGGUGAAAUGCGUAGAUAUAUGGAGGAACACCGGUGGCGAAAGCGGCUCUCUGGUCUGUAACUGACGCUGAGGCUCGAAAGCGUGGGGAGCGAACAGGAUUAGAUACCCUGGUAGUCCACGCCGUAAACGAUGAGUGCUAGGUGUUGGAUCCUUUCCGGGAUUCAGUGCCGCAGCUAACGCAUUAAGCACUCCGCCUGGGGAGUACGACCGCAAGGUUGAAACUCAAAGGAAUUGACGGGGGCCCGCACAAGCGGUGGAGCAUGUGGUUUAAUUCGAAGCAACGCGAAGAACCUUACCAGGUCUUGACAUCCCGAUGCUAUUUCUAGAGAUAGAAAGUUACUUCGGUACAUCGGUGACAGGUGGUGCAUGGUUGUCGUCAGCUCGUGUCGUGAGAUGUUGGGUUAAGUCCCGCAACGAGCGCAACCCCUAUUGUUAGUUGCCAUCAUUCAGUUGGGCACUCUAGCGAGACUGCCGGUAAUAAACCGGAGGAAGGUGGGGAUGACGUCAAAUCAUCAUGCCCCUUAUGACCUGGGCUACACACGUGCUACAAUGGUUGGUACAACGAGUUGCGAGUCGGUGACGGCGAGCUAAUCUCUUAAAGCCAAUCUCAGUUCGGAUUGUAGGCUGCAACUCGCCUACAUGAAGUCGGAAUCGCUAGUAAUCGCGGAUCAGCACGCCGCGGUGAAUACGUUCCCGGGCCUUGUACACACCGCCCGUCACACCACGAGAGUUUGUAACACCCGAAGUCGGUGAGGUAACCUUUUGGAGCCAGCCGCCUAAGGUGGGACAGAUGAUUGGGGUGAAGUCGUAACAAGGUAGCCGUAUCGGAAGGUGCGGCUGGAUCAC
Molecule: ribosomal RNA, 1495 nt
Filed under: Streptococcus thermophilus
Lineage: Bacteria; Bacillati; Bacillota; Bacilli; Lactobacillales; Streptococcaceae
Description: bacterial SSU rRNA
Rfam family: Bacterial small subunit ribosomal RNA
Source: RNAcentral